This 397-nucleotide ribosomal RNA is filed under the name uncultured bacterium. RNAcentral's name for it is "bacterial SSU rRNA". It matches the Rfam family "Bacterial small subunit ribosomal RNA", at positions 30 to 430 of the family's 1533-position model. The record is from RNAcentral.
AUUGAACGCUGGCGGCAUGCCUUACACAUGCAAGUCGAACGGCAGCACGGGAGCAAUCCUGGUGGCGAGUGGCGAACGGGUGAGUAAUGUAUCGGAACGUACCUUUCAGUGGGGGAUAACGUAGCGAAAGUUACGCUAAUACCGCAUAUUCUGUGAGCAGGAAAGCAGGGGAUCGCAAGACCUUGCGCUGAUUGAGCGGCCGAUAUCAGAUUAGCUAGUUGGUGAGGUAAAGGCUCACCAAGGCGACGAUCUGUAGCGGGUCUGAGAGGAUGAUCCGCCACACUGGAACUGAGACACGGUCCAGACUCCUACGGGAGGCAGCAGUGGGGAAUUUUGGACAAUGGGCGCAAGCCUGAUCCAGCCAUGCCGCGUGAGUGAAGAAGGCCUCGGUGUAAGA